This 534-nucleotide long non-coding RNA is filed under the name Marmota monax (woodchuck). Lineage: Eukaryota; Metazoa; Chordata; Mammalia; Rodentia; Sciuridae. The record is from RNAcentral.
CUAUCACCAAGUUAAAAUGAUGAUAAUAAUAUAGACGACUUCACAGUUUCAGAAUAACUAUUGGAUUGAAUAUUCGGGUUGUAAAGGUUGUAAAACUAGGUACUUGUGAAUGAACUUAUUAAAUAUUGAGGGGUAAGAAAUGAACAUGUCAAGUCUAAAGAAGAGGAAAUUAGCUGAGUUAGGGGAAUAACUAUUCUAUAACUAGAAUAGGGGAAUAGAGGGACUCUCAUUCACAGUAUAAUCUCUGGAUUUAAGAUUAUAUGAAAAUAUACACAAAAACAAGGAGCUCCGAACACACUUGUUCUGUUCUACUACUUUAUACAAAAGAUAUCGUCUAUAAUUAUCUUUUAUACAAAAAAGAUAAUUAGCCUAUUAGCUAUACAAAUGCUCACCGCAGCCAUAUUUAUAGUUGGAAAAACUUACAAGUAACUUAAAAUUUUAAACAGCAGUGUUUUCUACCCUUUAUCAUUUGUCUGUCAUCAUCAGAAUUUGUACCAAACCCUAGUCAUCGAUACAUUAUCAUUUACUUAAUAU